This 77-nucleotide transfer RNA is filed under the name Candidatus Pelagibacter sp. Its description in RNAcentral is "tRNA-Arg". It matches the Rfam family "tRNA". From Rfam's summary of the family: Transfer RNA (tRNA) molecules are approximately 80 nucleotides in length. Their secondary structure includes four short double-helical elements and three loops (D, anti-codon, and T loops). Further hydrogen bonds mediate the characteristic L-shaped molecular structure. tRNAs have two regions of fundamental functional importance: the anti-codon, which is responsible for specific mRNA codon recognition, and the 3' end, to which the tRNAs corresponding amino acid is attached (by aminoacyl-tRNA synthetases). tRNAs cope with the degeneracy of the genetic code in two manners: having more than one tRNA (with a specific anti-codon) for a particular amino acid; and 'wobble' base-pairing, i.e. permitting non-standard base-pairing at the 3rd anti-codon position. Lineage: Bacteria; Pseudomonadati; Pseudomonadota; Alphaproteobacteria; Candidatus Pelagibacterales; Candidatus Pelagibacteraceae. RNAcentral also lists the same sequence under 1 other name. The record is from RNAcentral.
GCGCUCGUAGCUCAAUUGGAUAGAGCGUCUGGCUUCGGACCAGAAGGUUGAGGGUUCAACUCCUUCCGGGCGCGCCA